AUGUCUGGUCGUACAAAGAAGCAGGAGGCGAUGGGUUUCUUCAAACCCUAAAAUCCUUACUAAAACUCUCAAAUUGGAGGUGCAAAUCUGGUCGAAAACGAAAAUCGAGCAUAGAUUACUGAUCCCCAUUGCAAGGGGGUUGUAAGUUUGACUCUUGACAAGCUAGAUGGAGGCUUGGAAUGAAGCGGGUCAAACGAAGCAAGUACGAAAAGAAAAGCGUAAUUUGGAUGCGAGGUAAGUAAAGCUUACGCCCUCUUUUGUAAGUUAUGUGUUUAUUCAUAGGUUGUAAAUACGAUAAAAGCUAUAUUUGAAAUAUGGUUCCGACACGAAAUGAAACGGGUCGGGACAUAUAAAAUAAUGAUAAACCAUGUUUAAUGGUAAAAUGGGCGAAAUGGUAAUUGGUCACGAGAUAACAUAUAUAUAAAAUGAGUUUUUGAAUGGCUACUUAUUAAGGUAAGCCUAAACGAAUAAAAAGAGUAAAACGACGAAUUAGUCAUGUGUAGACGAAAAAGAGUUGAAGUUUAAAACAACACCAUUUAAUAUUAAGCACGAAAUAUUUGGUAGUCUAGACCAAACGGGUCAAAUGGUAAUAUUUAUACCAUUUGACAAUUAACGACUAAUAAGUGUAUGUCGAGUCUCAUGCUCGCAGGGUAAUUGGUUUAUGAAUUAGCGAGGCUAUGAAUUAGCAUAUUAUAGAGACAAGGUCUUAAAACGGGUCAAUAUGUUGACUCGAGCCAGUCUUAGGUACUCAAGGAUUAUGGGUGACGAUCAAGCAACUUUUGAAGGACCGAACACAUACUCUUGAAGCUUCCGCAUAAAUCAACUCGGUUUAAACAAUGUUUAUGAUGUAAACUGUUUGCUAAACAACUUUUGAAAUGUUUAAACGACGUACUCAAUUAUGUUAUGUUGUAUUAUUUUAAAAUUGUAAAGUUUAAACAAACCCGUAUUU
Molecule: long non-coding RNA, 949 nt
Filed under: Helianthus annuus (common sunflower)
Lineage: Eukaryota; Viridiplantae; Streptophyta; Magnoliopsida; Asterales; Asteraceae
Description: hypothetical non coding rna
Source: RNAcentral